ACCUAUUUAUUUUAAUUAAAAUAUUGAUUUGUGGUAUCAAUGAUAUGAAUCUAUUUCAUUUUAGGUC
This 67-nucleotide transfer RNA is filed under the name Tanaocerus koebelei. Its description in RNAcentral is "tRNA-His". Lineage: Eukaryota; Metazoa; Arthropoda; Insecta; Orthoptera; Pneumoridae. The record is from RNAcentral.